Molecule: ribosomal RNA, 274 nt
Filed under: uncultured bacterium
Lineage: Bacteria
Description: partial 16S ribosomal RNA
Rfam family: Bacterial small subunit ribosomal RNA
Source: RNAcentral
AGACGGAGGGUGCAAGCGUUAAUCGGAAUUACUGGGCGUAAAGCGCUCGUAGGCGGCUUGUUAAGUCGGAUGUGAAAGCCCCGGGCUCAACCUGGGAACUGCAUUCGAUACUGGCAGGCUAGAGUAUAGUAGAGGCAAGUGGAAUUCCGGGUGUAGCGGUGAAAUGCGUAGAUAUCCGGAGGAACAUCAGUGGCGAAGGCGACUUGCUGGACUAAUACUGACGCUAAGGAGCGAAAGCGUGGGGAGCAAACGGGAUUAGAAACCCCAGUAGUCC